RNAcentral lists this transfer RNA (76 nucleotides) under Prosthecobacter sp. RNAcentral describes it as "tRNA-Ala". Lineage: Bacteria; Pseudomonadati; Verrucomicrobiota; Verrucomicrobiia; Verrucomicrobiales; Verrucomicrobiaceae. The record is from RNAcentral.
GGGCCUGUGGUGUCAGAAGGAAGCACGGCUGUCUUGCACACAGCAGGUGACGGAGCGUUACCGUCCGGGUCCACCA